Molecule: ribosomal RNA, 301 nt
Filed under: uncultured bacterium
Lineage: Bacteria
Description: partial 16S ribosomal RNA
Rfam family: Bacterial small subunit ribosomal RNA
Source: RNAcentral
CAGUCGCCGCGGGAAUACAGAGGGUGCGAGCGUUAAUCGGAUUUACUGGGCGUAAAGCGUGCGUAGGCGGCUUCUUAAGUCGGAUGUGAAAUCCCUGAGCUUAACUUAGGAAUUGCAUUCGAUACUGGGAAGCUAGAGUAUGGGAGAGGAUGGUAGAAUUCCAGGUGUAGCGGUGAAAUGCGUAGAGAUCUGGAGGAAUACCGAUGGCUAAGGCAGCCAUCUGGCCUAAUACUGACGCUGAGGUACGAAAGCAUGAGGAGCAAACAGGAUUAGAGACCCCGGUAGUCCCUGUCUCUUAUAC